AUUGAACGCUGGCGGCAUGCCUUACACAUGCAAGUCGAACGGCAGCGCGGACUUCGGUCUGGCGGCGAGUGGCGAACGGGUGAGUAAUACAUCGGAACGUACCCUGUUGUGGGGGAUAACUAGUCGAAAGAUUAGCUAAUACCGCAUACGACCUGAGGGUGAAAGUGGGGGACCGCAAGGCCUCACGCAGCAGGAGCGGCCGAUGUCUGAUUAGCUAGUUGGUGGGGUAAAGGCCCACCAAGGCGACGAUCAGUAGCUGGUCUGAGAGGACGAACGGCCAGACUGGGACUGAGACACGGCCCAGACUCCUACGGGAGGCAGCAGUGGGGAAUUUUGGGCAAUGGGGGCAACCCUGAUCCAGCAAUGCCGCGUGUGUGAAGAAGGCCUUCGGGUUGUAAAGCACUUUUGUCCGGAAAGAAAUCGCGCUGGUUAAUACCUGGCGUGGAUGACGGUACCGGAAGAAUAAGCACCGGCUAACUACGUGCCAGCCGCCGCCGUAA
This 500-nucleotide ribosomal RNA is filed under the name uncultured bacterium. RNAcentral describes it as "partial 16S ribosomal RNA". It matches the Rfam family "Bacterial small subunit ribosomal RNA", at positions 29 to 523 of the family's 1533-position model. The record is from RNAcentral.